This 541-nucleotide ribosomal RNA is filed under the name uncultured Gallionellaceae bacterium. RNAcentral describes it as "bacterial SSU rRNA". It matches the Rfam family "Bacterial small subunit ribosomal RNA", at positions 135 to 671 of the family's 1533-position model. Lineage: Bacteria; Pseudomonadati; Pseudomonadota; Betaproteobacteria; Nitrosomonadales; Gallionellaceae. The record is from RNAcentral.
AAUGGGGGAUAACGUAGCGAAAGUUACGCUAAUACCGCAUAUGCCCUGAGGGGGAAAGUGGGGGAUCGCAAGACCUCACGUUUUCGGAGCGGCCGAUAUCGGAUUAGCUAGUAGGUUGGGUAAAGGCUGACCUAGGCGACGAUCCGUAGCUGGUCUGAGAGGACGACCAGCCACACUGGGACUGAGACACGGCCCAGACUCCUACGGGAGGCAGCAGUGGGGAAUUUUGGACAAUGGGGGCAACCCUGAUCCAGCCAUGCCGCGUGAGUGAAGAAGGCCUUCGGGUUGCAAAGCUCUUUCGGACAGAAAGAAAUCGCCAUUCCUAAUACGAGUGGUGGAUGACGGUACUGUAAGAAGAAGCACCGGCUAACUACGUGCCAGCAGCCGCGGUAAUACGUAGGGUGCGAGCGUUAAUCGGAAUUACUGGGCGUAAAGCGUGCGCAGGCGGUUUCGUAAGACAGACGUGAAAUCCCCGGGCUUAACCUGGGAACUGCGUUUGUGACUGCGAGGCUAGAGUGUAGCAGAGGGGGGUAGAAUUCCA